UGUUGAGGCUGGAGCGAAACUCGG
This 24-nucleotide microRNA is filed under the name Sorghum bicolor (sorghum). Its description in RNAcentral is "sbi-miR6233-5p". The record is from miRBase by way of RNAcentral. Lineage: Eukaryota; Viridiplantae; Streptophyta; Magnoliopsida; Poales; Poaceae.